RNAcentral lists this ribosomal RNA (588 nucleotides) under uncultured bacterium. Its description in RNAcentral is "partial 16S ribosomal RNA". It matches the Rfam family "Bacterial small subunit ribosomal RNA", at positions 355 to 1375 of the family's 1533-position model. The record is from RNAcentral.
UGGGGAAUUUUGGACAAUGGGCGAAAGCCUGAUCCAGCAAUGCCGCGUGUGUGAAGAAGGCCUUCGGGUUGUAAAGCACUUUUGUCCGGAAAGAAAUCCUUGGCUCUAAUACAGUCGGGGGAUGACGGUACCGGAAGAAUAAGCACCGGCUAACUACGUGCCAGCAGCCGCGGUAAUACGUAGGGUGCAAGCGUUAAUCGGAAUUACUGGGCGUAAAGCGCGCGCAGGCGGUUUGCUAAGACCGAUGUGAAAUCCCCGGGCUCAACCUGGGAACUGCAUUGGUGACUGGCAGGCUAGAGUAUGGCAGAGGGGGGUAGAAUUCCGCGUGUAGCAGUGAAAUGCGUAGAGAUGUGGAGGAAUACCGAUGGCGAAGGCAGCCCCCUGGGCCAAUACUGACGCUCAUGCACGAAAAGCGUGGGGAGCAAAACAGGAUUAGAUACCCUGGUAGUCCACGCCCUAAAACGAUGUCAACUAGUUGUUGGGGAUUCAUUUCCUUAGUAACGUAGCUAACGCGUGAAGUUGACCGCCUGGGGAGUACGGUCGCAAGAUUAAAACUCAAAUGAAUUGACGGGGUCAUAGCUGUUUCCU